Long non-coding RNA from Falco peregrinus (peregrine falcon), 1045 nucleotides. RefSeq lists it as uncharacterized. The transcript is spliced from 2 exons. The record is from RefSeq and is a predicted model, not a curated record. Lineage: Eukaryota; Metazoa; Chordata; Aves; Falconiformes; Falconidae.
AAAAACUGAAAUAAAAUACACUCUGUAGUAGUUCUACUAAUGUAAAUCUGUGAAUUAUCCUUAAUACCAGACGGUAAAAUCCAAACUGUAAGUACAGAUCAGGAGCCAAAUUAUUCUAAAGAAAACUUAAAGGUAAUUCAGGACAUGAAUGAUAAAAUAAAUAAGUGGACUUAUUUGAGGGAUGGUCGUAUAGUGGUACCAUCCAAUUUAAUACGGACCACAGCCGUAACAGAACAUAAUGAGAUGCACUGGGGAGCUGAUAAUUUAUAUAAAAGUCUAAAUCAGAAAUUGAUAGGGCAGAACUUGUAUACUGUAAUAAAACAGGUGACUCAGCAAUGUGAAAUGUGUUUGAAAAUUAGCCAGGGCAACAGUGGCAAGUUGAUUUUUCCAGACUCCCAAGAACUGGGGGUACUGAUAUUUAUUAAAUGAAUGGACACCCCAAUGUAUCAUACAGUAUUAUGGACCUGCAACUUGGAAUCCUAAUGAACUCAUUAACGGUGCUCGAGAACCUAUCUACAAUCUGGUUCGUAUCAUUCGUCUACAGGCUGUCUUGGAAAUUAUUACUAAUCAAACAGCUAAAGCUUUUGAUGUGAAAUGCAAUUUAUCAACACAGGAUGGUUCUCGAUUACCGGCUAGCCGAAGAAGGAAGUGUUUGUGGUAAAGUAAAUGUUUCCAAUUGUUGUUUGAAAAUUGAUGACAAUGGUGAGGCAGUUAAACAAAUCACAUCAGAGAUAGGGAAGUUAGCCCAUGUUCCCGUCCGAACUUGGAAAGACGAAUACUGACUUGGACUUGUUUUCCUGGCUUCUCGGGAGCCCCUGGGUAAAACGAAUCCUAUUUUAUUUGUUAUGUGGAUUAGCCACCUUAUUGUUUUUGCCAUGUGCUGUUCCAUGUUUUAUAAGAUUAAUUCAACACGUUAUAACUAACAUGCAAUUUGCUAUUAUGGUUUCACCCGAUGGCGUUAAACAAAUGCGAGUGGUAUGACAAAAUGUACACACAAAAUAACAUUUUAAUAGCCAACAAGAAUUUGGAAACAAUUGACUCUUAA